Molecule: transfer RNA, 73 nt
Filed under: Archangium gephyra
Lineage: Bacteria; Pseudomonadati; Myxococcota; Myxococcia; Myxococcales; Archangiaceae
Also listed under: 2 other names
Description: tRNA-Thr
Rfam family: tRNA
About the family: Transfer RNA (tRNA) molecules are approximately 80 nucleotides in length. Their secondary structure includes four short double-helical elements and three loops (D, anti-codon, and T loops).
Source: RNAcentral
GCCGGUGUAGCUCAGUUGGUAGAGCACCUGAUUUGUAAUCAGUAGGUCGCGGGUUCGAAUCCCGCCGCCGGCC